This 479-nucleotide ribosomal RNA is filed under the name uncultured bacterium. RNAcentral describes it as "partial 16S ribosomal RNA". It matches the Rfam family "Bacterial small subunit ribosomal RNA", at positions 30 to 507 of the family's 1533-position model. The record is from RNAcentral.
CGAACGCUGGCGGCGUGCUUACCACAUGCAAGUCGCACGCUGAAGCUCAGCUUGCUGGGUGGAUGAGUGGCGAACGGGUGAGUAACACGUGAGUAACCUGCCCCCUUCUUUGGGAUAACGCCCGGAAACGGGUGCUAAUACUGGAUAUUCACUGAUCUUCGCAUGGGGGUUGGUGGAAAGGUUUUUUCUGGUGGGGGAUGGGCUCGCGGCCUAUCAGCUUGUUGGUGGGGUGAUGGCCUACCAAGGCUUUGACGGGUAGCCGGCCUGAGAGGGUGACCGGUCACAUUGGGACUGAGAUACGGCCCAGACUCCUACGGGAGGCAGCAGUGGGGAAUAUUGCACAAUGGGCGAAAGCCUGAUGCAGCGACGCCGCGUGAGGGAUGGAGGCCUUCGGGUUGUAAACCUCUUUCGCUCAUGGUCAAGCCGCAACAUUGGUUGUGGUGAGGGUAGUGGGUAAAGAAGCGCCGGCUAACUACGUG